Molecule: ribosomal RNA, 493 nt
Filed under: uncultured organism
Description: SSU rRNA
Rfam family: Bacterial small subunit ribosomal RNA
Source: RNAcentral
GUGCCAGCCGCCGCGGUAAUACGUAGGGUGCGAGCGUUGUCCGGAAUUACUGGGCGUAAAGAGCUCGUAGGUGGUUUGUCGCGUUGUUCGUGAAAACUCACAGCUUAACUGUGGGCGUGCGGGCGAUACGGGCAGACUAGAGUACUGCAGGGGAGACUGGAAUUCCUGGUGUAGCGGUGGAAUGCGCAGAUAUCAGGAGGAACACCGGUGGCGAAGGCGGGUCUCUGGGCAGUAACUGACGCUGAGGAGCGAAAGCGUGGGGAGCGAACAGGAUUAGAUACCCUGGUAGUCCACGCCGUAAACGGUGGGUACUAGGUGUGGGUUCCUUCCUUGGGAUCCGUGCCGUAGCUAACGCAUUAAGUACCCCGCCUGGGGAGUACGGCCGCAAGGCUAAAACUCAAAGGAAUUGACGGGGGCCCGCACAAGCGGCGGAGCAUGUGGAUUAAUUCGAUGCAACGCGAAGAACCUUACCUGGGUUGACAUGCACAGACGC